This 361-nucleotide transfer-messenger RNA is filed under the name Chromatiales bacterium. It matches the Rfam family "transfer-messenger RNA". From Rfam's summary of the family: Bacterial tmRNA, also known as 10Sa RNA or SsrA, is named for its dual tRNA and mRNA-like properties. Its role is to liberate the mRNA from a stalled ribosome. Lineage: Bacteria; Pseudomonadati; Pseudomonadota; Gammaproteobacteria; Chromatiales. RNAcentral also lists the same sequence under 1 other name. The record is from RNAcentral.
GGGGGCGACAUGGUUUCGACGUGUGUCACGAAACUCCAGGUGCAUGUCGAGGUGCAGGUACCUCGUAAAACCGUCUGCAAACUCAUAGUUGCCAACGACGACAACUACGCACUCGCUGCUUAAAAACCAGUAAGGUGCCGUCUGACUGAAGCCGUGCUUGUGCGUUCAGAUUUCAGGCGUCGACUCUCACAAGAUCGCUGUGAAGCUCUCCCAGGGUGGAUCAGUUAAAACUUAUCUGGGACAGCUGUCUGUCUUCCCUGCCCGUCGGGUAGCAAACAGUUAAAACAAAGACGCGGCUAAGCAUGUAGAUCCUGGGGCGGAGGGCUCGCGGACGCGGGUUCGAUUCCCGCCGCCUCCACCA